GACGAACGCUGGCGGCGUGCUUAACACAUGCAAGUCGAACGGAAAGGCCCUGCUUUUGUGGGGUGCUCGAGUGGCGAACGGGUGAGUAACACGUGAGUAACCUGCCCUUGACUUUGGGAUAACUUCAGGAAACUGGGGCUAAUACCGGAUAGGAGCUCCUGCUGCAUGGUGGGGGUUGGAAAGUUUCGGCGGUUGGGGAUGGACUCGCGGCUUAUCAGCUUGUUGGUGGGGUAGUGGCUUACCAAGGCUUUGACGGGUAGCCGGCCUGAGAGGGUGACCGGCCACAUUGGGACUGAGAUACGGCCCAGACUCCUACGGGAGGCAGCAGUGGGGAAUAUUGCACAAUGGGCGGAAGCCUGAUGCAGCAACGCCGCGUGCGGGAUGACGGCCUUCGGGUUGUAAACCGCUUUCGCCUGUGACGAAGCGUGAGUGACGGUAAUGGGUAAAGAAGCACCGGCUAACUACGUGCCAGCAGCCGCGGUGAUACGUAGGGUGCGAGCGUUGUCCGGAUUUAUUGGGCGUAAAGGGCUCGUAGGUGGUUGAUCGCGUCGGAAGUGUAAUCUUGGGGCUUAACCCUGAGCGUGCUUUCGAUACGGGUUGACUUGAGGAAGGUAGGGGAGAAUGGAAUUCCUGGUGGAGCGGUGGAAUGCGCAGAUAUCAGGAGGAACACCAGUGGCGAAGGCGGUUCUCUGGGCCUUUCCUGACGCUGAGGAGCGAAAGCGUGGGGAGCGAACAGGCUUAGAUACCCUGGUAGUCCACGCUGUAAACGGUGGGUACUAGGUGUGGGGUCCAUUCCACGGGUUCCGUGCCGUAGCUAACGCUUUAAGUACCCCGCCUGGGGAGUACGGCCGCAAGGCUAAAACUCAAAGGAAUUGACGGGGCCCCGCACAAGCGGCGGAGCAUGCGGAUUAAUUCGAUGCAACGCGUAGAACCUUACCUGGGUUUGACAUGGAUCGGGAGUGCUCAGAGAUGGGUGUGCCUCUUUUGGGGUCGGUUCACAGGUGGUGCAUGGCUGUCGUCAGCUCGUGUCGUGAGAUGUUGGGUUAAGUCCCGCAACGAGCGCAACCCUUGUUCACUGUUGCCAGCACGUUAUGGUGGGGACUCAGUGGAGACCGCCGGGGUCAACUCGGAGGAAGGUGGGGAUGACGUCAAGUCAUCAUGCCCCUUAUGUCCAGGGCUUCACGCAUGCUACAAUGGCUGGUACAGAGGGUGGCGAGCCUGUGAGGGUGAGCGAAUCUCGGAAAGCCGGUCUCAGUUCGGAUUGGGGUCUGCAACUCGACCUCAUGAAGUCGGAGUCGCUAGUAAUCGCAGAUCAGCAACGCUGCGGUGAAUAAAUUCCCGGGGCU
Molecule: ribosomal RNA, 1346 nt
Filed under: uncultured bacterium
Lineage: Bacteria
Description: partial 16S ribosomal RNA
Rfam family: Bacterial small subunit ribosomal RNA
Source: RNAcentral